AAAGUCCUAAUGUGUUCGUCGCGUAACCUAUUGUUUUGACCGAACAAUAAGUUAUACGGGAGCCCGGGUUUUCAGACCGCGUAAAUGCCUCAUCAUGAGGACUUACAAAUGUCUGAAACAGUGCACCCACCUGCCUAGAGCGGGUUCAAAACGAAGGAAUCGACGGCAUAAUUGGGACUUUC
Molecule: non-coding RNA, 182 nt
Filed under: Bacillus mesophilus
Lineage: Bacteria; Bacillati; Bacillota; Bacilli; Caryophanales; Bacillaceae
Description: 6S / SsrS RNA
Rfam family: 6S / SsrS RNA
About the family: E. coli 6S RNA was the first non coding RNA to be sequenced, but its function was unknown until recently. It consists of 184 nucleotides that fold into an extended hairpin structure with a large single-stranded internal bulge. The 6S RNA specifically associates with RNA polymerase holoenzyme containing the sigma70 specificity factor.
Source: Rfam by way of RNAcentral